GCCCAGCCCAGCUCUUGUGCUUUUAUUUGUCAACACUUAUUUUUGUUUCCUGACACAAAGUGGAAACAUUUGGUCAGUGUUUUGGCUCGUGUCCCUGCUGUUUUCCCUGUCUCCUGCAGUGUCACAUGGAAGGACAUUCCAGGCUUUAUUUUUUGUCAUUCCUGACAGGCAUGAAGCUGUAAAAUAUUUGGGUGGCUGCUAACAGUGUUUUAAUCCCAGGAGAUGUUUUUUUCCCUGGCUCCAGGGCUGCCCUUUGGGUGAGGGAAUGUUCUCAAAACCUUCUGCAGAGCUGCUAAGAGCCAGGGCAGGCUGGAUCCAGGUGCUGUGAAUCCCUGUGCUUGUUCCUACUCCCAAGCUGCUCUUCCAUGCCUCUUUUCAGGUAGUUGAAGCUGAAAGAAUUGGUUUUGAACAGAGGCUUGGAGCCUGCCUGCUCGAGGGAACUUCACUGCACCCUUGAAGAAUUACCUAAUGUGGUGAGAUUCACUUGUCUGGUUACCUAAGUGCUUUGUUCCUGCUUUUCCAGAGAGGAAUUGCUGACUCCCAUCAAUGUGUGCUCUGAAAUUGUGUUUCCUGGAAUCUGCAUCCCUUCCCAAAUGCCAGAAGUCCAUUAGAGUAGAGCAAAAGACAUUAAAAAAGCCCCUUAGUUUAAUACUUUCACCUGCAGGGUUGAUAAAAAUUCCAUCCUUGCCCCAGAACUUCCUCUGUGACAUCUGCACAAUUCCAUUCCUCCCACAAACCAGCCACAAGGAUCCUUCCUGCUCUGGUUCCUGCUUAAAGCCCCUCAGGGCAGCUGCUGCCUGAAUAUUUACUCCAGCCAGGCUCGUGGGGGAAGAGCGAUACAAAGCAAACAGGGAAGUGCAGACAGAAAAUGCAUUAGAAAUGUUUGGAAAAGGCACUCCAAGGUCUCCCCAGGCUGGUCAGAGAGGAAAGUUUUCCAGGAUUGCAGCAGGCUGCUGUUAUUCCCUGGGCUGCUUUUUUGGAGUUUGUACCCAGCCCUACAUCGAUUGUGGAGAGGUGGCCCAGGGAUCUUUGCCAUCCUGUCAGUGGAGAGAGGAGCAGACCUGGAGAGUUUUUUAUCUGGAAGAGAGCACGUGGUGGAAAUAAGUGAUGCUGGAGCCUUGCAGGCCCUGUGUCACAGCAAGCAAAUUGACCUUGUGCUUAAAUGGUUAUUGUGGGCAUUCCGAGGGGGAUAUUGGCUGCAAAUGUGUUACUGGCAUAAUUAAAAUGUAGUCCCUGCCUGGGUUUUUAUUCCUGGGAAUGGUGCAGAUCAGCACGGGAGUGGCAGGAGUGGGAGGAAGCUGCAGCUCCUCCUUGCCUCAGUCUUUACCACUACGAUUAAUUUUCAUUACAGAGGAAAUGAAAUUCAGCCCAGGAGACCCUCUUUGAUUCCCAGGGAGGAAAAGUGUCUUGCUUUUAUGGCAGGAAACUGCACUUUAAACUGCUUUUAGAUCCCCUUGCAGGCUGGUUUACACUUCAAGCCCCAGUUUGUCAGCUGGCAGGUACCUGCUGCUUCCCCUGGGCACCCUUCUCUGUCUGCCUUUGGUUUCCUCCUCUCCGUGCUCCAGGGCACCAGGCAGCUUCUAAUUAAUCAGGGUCAGGAAGAAAAUUUCCCUGGGGAAAAGUUGUUUUCUCUCCACCUGCUUGCAAAGCUUUCUGAGCCUGCCAGCAGAGCUGCUGGGCAGAGAGGGUAGAUGAUGGUAAAUGCCUAAACCAGCCUGAAAAUGUCAGGGCUUGAGCUCUUCCCAACAUCCCCUGGACUUUUGUGGCUUUCCCUGCUGCUUCUGAGCUAACUAGAGAUGUGUUGGAGUCAGCUCUGGUCACUGGGAAAUAUUGGCUGGAAGGGGAAUAAGUUGCCAGUGGAGAUUUGGAGGAGUUUCUGUGGAAGGUUUGGGGAACUCCAUCCUGCUGGUGAACAUGGAAUUCCCAGUAACAGUGCUCCAGGUGCAGGCAGAGUGGGGAACUUGGGGAUGAUGGGUCUGGUUUUAGUUUAGUGACCACCAGGGCAGGCUGAGAGAAAGAACAGCAAAUCUUUUAUCCUUUAGAGGAAAAGGGUUGAGCUCAUCUGCUGAUGCUUCCCAUGUUCAAUUCGCCCAUCUCUUGGGGUACAAAAACAUUUCUCUCCUGUCUGGGGCACUCACAGAGCUCAAAACCUUCAGCUGAGCAGCUGCUCUCAAGAAUCUGGAAGUGCUGCUCCCUCUGAGAGCAACAAACUCUUAAUUUUCA
Molecule: long non-coding RNA, 2223 nt
Filed under: Cyanistes caeruleus (blue tit)
Lineage: Eukaryota; Metazoa; Chordata; Aves; Passeriformes; Paridae
Description: lncRNA (ENSCCEG00000007249.1)
Source: RNAcentral